This 468-nucleotide long non-coding RNA is filed under the name Capra hircus (goat). Its description in RNAcentral is "lncRNA (ENSCHIG00010014848.1)". The record is from RNAcentral. Lineage: Eukaryota; Metazoa; Chordata; Mammalia; Artiodactyla; Bovidae.
UGGUCCUACAGCAGGUGUGUUCACUAGUCUGAUAGCAAGUUGGGGGGCAGUAAGGCCGACAGCAGCCGGACUCACAGCAGGUGGGCUGGCAGCAGGUGGUCCUGCAGCAGGUAGGUUGACAGCAAGGGGAGCAGCAGGAAUGGGUCAUGGUGUCAGGUGUGGAGGGUUGGCUUCUGAGCAGAGACAAAUUUCUCAGAAUCUGAAUACCUCUUCUCUACUAGACCUUUUAUACUCUGGUUCCCAAAUUUAGGACCAAUGAACAGAAUUUUCCUUGUUAUUAUUUAUAACUUUUUUCAUGAUCCAUGGAAAAUUGCCUAAGGAGGAAGUGUUCCCUAACUGUUCUGAAAAUAGGAUUAUUCUCCUAGGUAAUAUUAAACCAUAGGAACUUAUUUCCAGAAACGGGAGAAACCAUCAACAUCCAUACCCUUAUUUAAGUGUGAAUCAUCAUUUCUCAAGACAGAAUUCAUC